RNAcentral lists this ribosomal RNA (257 nucleotides) under uncultured bacterium. Its description in RNAcentral is "partial 16S ribosomal RNA". It matches the Rfam family "Bacterial small subunit ribosomal RNA", at positions 793 to 1055 of the family's 1533-position model. The record is from RNAcentral.
GUCCACGCCGUAAACGAUGGAUACUAGUUGUUGGAUUUUCGGAUUCAGUGACUAAGCGAAAGUGAUAAGUAUCCCACCUGGGGAGUACGAACGCAAGUUUGAAACUCAAAGGAAUUGACGGGGGCCCGCACAAGCGGUGGAGCAUGUGGUUUAAUUCGAUGAUACGCGAGGAACCUUACCAGGGCUUAAAUGUAGAUUGACAGGCGUGGAAACAUGCUUUUCUUCGGACAAUUUACAAGGUGCUGCAUGGUUGUCGU